RNAcentral lists this ribosomal RNA (253 nucleotides) under uncultured bacterium. RNAcentral describes it as "partial 16S ribosomal RNA". It matches the Rfam family "Bacterial small subunit ribosomal RNA", at positions 524 to 776 of the family's 1533-position model. The record is from RNAcentral.
UACGGAGGGUGCGAGCGUUGUCCGGAAUCACUGGGCGUAAAGGGCGCGUAGGCGGCUUGGGAAGUCCGUGGUGAAAGCUCGUGGCUCAACUACGAGUCGGCCAUGGAUACUCCUAAGCUCGAGUCGACUAGAGGCUAAUGGAAUUCCGGGUGUAGCGGUGGAAUGCGUAGAGAUCCGGAAGAACACCGGUGGCGAAGGCGGUUAGCUGGGGUCGAACUGACGCUGAGGCGCGACAGCGUGGGGAGCAAACAGG